GCUACCAUGCAGUCGACGGUAUCACAUAGAGCUUGCUCUCGGGUGACGAGUGGCGGACGGGUGAGUAAUGUCUGGGAAACUGCCUGAUGGAGGGGGAUAACUACUGGAAACGGUAGCUAAUACCGCAUAACGUCGCAAGACCAAAGAGGGGGACCUUCGGGCCUCUUGCCAUCAAAUGUGCCCAGAUGGGAUUAGCUAGUAGGUGGGGUAACGGCUCACCUAGGCGACGAUCCCUACCUGGUCUGAGAGGAUGACCAGCCACACUGGAACUGAGACACAGUCCAGACUCCUACGGGAGGCAGCACUGGGGAAUAUUGCACAAUGGGCGCAAGCCUGAUGCACCCAUGCCGCGUGUAUGAAGAAGGACUUCGGGUUGUAAAGUACUUUCCGCGGGGAGGAAGGUGUUGUGGUUAAUAACCGCAGCAAUUGACGUUACCCGCAGAAGAAGCACCGGCUAACUCCGUGCCAAGCACCCGCGGUAAUACGGAGGGUGCGAGCGUUUAAUCGGAAUUACUGGGCGUAAAGCGCACGCAAGCGGUUUGUCAAGUCGAAUGUGAAAUCCCCGGGGUCAACCUGGGAACUGUAUUCGAAACUGGCAGGGUGGAAUCUUGUAGAGGGGGGAACAAUCCCAGGUGUAGCGUUGACAUACGUAAAGAACUGGAGAAAUAACCGGGUGCUAUCGGGGCCCCCCGGAACAAAAAAUAGCCCCUUCGGGUGCGAAACGGGUGGGAAGGCAAAAGAGAUAAAAACCCCUGG
Molecule: ribosomal RNA, 756 nt
Filed under: Enterobacter cloacae
Lineage: Bacteria; Pseudomonadati; Pseudomonadota; Gammaproteobacteria; Enterobacterales; Enterobacteriaceae
Description: bacterial SSU rRNA
Rfam family: Bacterial small subunit ribosomal RNA
Source: RNAcentral